Molecule: ribosomal RNA, 435 nt
Filed under: uncultured bacterium
Lineage: Bacteria
Description: partial 16S ribosomal RNA
Rfam family: Bacterial small subunit ribosomal RNA
Source: RNAcentral
AACGAACGCUGGCGGCAGGCCUAACACGUGCAAGUCGAACGAUUGCCUUCGGGUGAUAGUGGCGCACGGGUGCGUAACGCGUGGGAAUCUGCCCUUAGGUUCGGAAUAACAGCUGGAAACGGCUGCUAAUACCGGAUGAUAUCGCGAGAUCAAAGAUUUAUCGCCUGAGGAUGAGCCCGCGUUGGAUUAGGUAGUUGGUGGGGUAAAGGCCUACCAAGCCGACGAUCCAUAGCUGGUCUGAGAGGAUGAUCAGCCACACUGGGACUGAGACACGGCCCAGACUCCUACGGGAGGCAGCAGUGGGGAAUAUUGGACAAUGGGCGCAAGCCUGAUCCAGCAAUGCCGCGUGAGUGAUGAAGGCCCUAGGGUUGUAAAGCUCUUUUACCCGGGAAGAUAAUGACUGUACCGGGAGAAUAAGCCCCGGCUAACUCCGUG